GAGUAUUGGACAAUGGGGGCAACCCUGAUCCAGCAAUGCCGCGUGAGUGAUGAAGGCCUUAGGGUUGUAAAGCUCUUUCGGCGGGGACGAUGAUGACGGUACCCGCAGAAGAAGCCCCGGCUAACUUCGUGCCAGCAGCCGCGGUAAUACGAAGGGGGCAAGCGUUGUUCGGAUUUACUGGGCGUAAAGGGCGCGCAGGCGGCUCUUCAAGUCAGAUGUGAAAGCCCCGGGCUCAACCUGGGAACUGCAUUUGAGACUGAAGAACUCGAGUUCGGGAGAGGAUGGCGGAAUUCCCAGUGUAGAGGUAAAAUUCGUAGAUAUUGGGAAGAACACCGGUGGCGAAGGCGGCCAUCUGGACCGAGACUGACGCUGAGGCGCGAAAGCGUGGGGAGCAAACAGG
Molecule: ribosomal RNA, 400 nt
Filed under: uncultured bacterium
Lineage: Bacteria
Description: bacterial SSU rRNA
Rfam family: Bacterial small subunit ribosomal RNA
Source: RNAcentral